UACGAAGGGGGCUAGCGUUGUUCGGAAUUACUGGGCGUAAAGCGCACGCAGGCGGCUCGUUAAAUUAGAAGUGAAAGCCCUGGGCUCAACCCGGGAAUUGCUUUUAAGACUGGCGAGCUUGAAUCCGGAAGAGGGCAGUGGAAUUCCAAGUGUAGAGGUGAAAUUCGUAGAUAUUUGGAAGAACACCAGUGGCGAAGGCGACUGCCUGGUCCGGCAUUGACGCUCAUGUGCGAAAGCGUGGGGAG
This 245-nucleotide ribosomal RNA is filed under the name uncultured bacterium. RNAcentral's name for it is "partial 16S ribosomal RNA". It matches the Rfam family "Bacterial small subunit ribosomal RNA", at positions 524 to 768 of the family's 1533-position model. The record is from RNAcentral.